GUGGAGAGGAUGGCCACCGAAUGGAGG
RNAcentral lists this small RNA (27 nucleotides) under Bombyx mori (domestic silkworm). RNAcentral describes it as "ovarian small RNA-17903". Lineage: Eukaryota; Metazoa; Arthropoda; Insecta; Lepidoptera; Bombycidae. The record is from RNAcentral.